Molecule: transfer RNA, 77 nt
Filed under: Candidatus Ghiorseimicrobium undicola
Lineage: Bacteria; Pseudomonadati; Candidatus Omnitrophota
Description: Candidatus Omnitrophica bacterium CG11_big_fil_rev_8_21_14_0_20_42_13 tRNA-Val
Rfam family: tRNA
About the family: Transfer RNA (tRNA) molecules are approximately 80 nucleotides in length. Their secondary structure includes four short double-helical elements and three loops (D, anti-codon, and T loops).
Source: RNAcentral
GGGCGCAUAGCUCAGUCGGUUAGAGCAUUUGCAUCACACGCAAAGGGUCGAGGGUUCGAGUCCUUCUGCGCCCACCA